CCUACGGGGGGCAGCAGUGGGGGAUAUUGCACAAUGGGGGGAACCCUGAUGCAGCGACGCCGCGUGGGUGAAGAAGCGCCUCGGCGCGUAAAGCUCUGUCAGCAGGGAAGAAAAUGACGGUACCUGAAGAAGAAGCCCCGGCUAACUACGUGCCAGCAGCCGCGGUAUUACGUAGGGGGCAAGCGUUAACCGGAUUUACUGGGUGUAAAGGGGGCGCAGACGGCGAUGCAAGCCAGGGGUGAAAGCCCGGGGCACAACCCCGGGACUGCUCUUGGAACGGCGUGGCUGGAGUGCAGGAGGGGCAGGCGGAAUUGCUGGGGUAGCGGUGAAAGGCGUAGAAAUCAGGAGGAACACCGGUGGCGAAGGCGGCCUGCGGGACUGCAACUGACGUUGAGGCCCGAAAGCGUGGGGAGCAAACAGGAUUAGAUACCCUAGUAGUC
RNAcentral lists this ribosomal RNA (440 nucleotides) under uncultured bacterium. RNAcentral's name for it is "partial 16S ribosomal RNA". It matches the Rfam family "Bacterial small subunit ribosomal RNA", at positions 338 to 795 of the family's 1533-position model. The record is from RNAcentral.